This 254-nucleotide ribosomal RNA is filed under the name uncultured bacterium. Its description in RNAcentral is "partial 16S ribosomal RNA". It matches the Rfam family "Bacterial small subunit ribosomal RNA", at positions 524 to 776 of the family's 1533-position model. The record is from RNAcentral.
UACGUAGGGAGCAAGCGUUGUUCGGAUUUACUGGGCGUAAAGGGCGCGUAGGCGGCGCGGUAAGUCACUUGUGAAAUCUCUGAGCUUAACUCAGAACGGCCAAGUGAUACUGCAGUGCUAGAGUGCAGAAGGGGCAAUCGGAAUUCUUGGUGUAGCGGUGAAGUGCGUAGAUAUCAAGAGGAACACCUGAGGUGAAGACGGGUUGCUGGGCUGACACUGACGCUGAGUGCGCGAAAGCCAGGGGAGCAAACGGG